Rhipicephalus microplus (southern cattle tick) is the source of this 467-nucleotide long non-coding RNA. The record is from RefSeq and is a predicted model, not a curated record. NCBI's taxonomy places the organism in Eukaryota, Metazoa, Arthropoda, Arachnida, Ixodida, Ixodidae.
GCACUGCUAUGGCACUGUUGUGAAAGAAACCAGCCCCUAUCGCGACGUUCAUACAGAAGGGGUGAAGAAUAUUAGGGUCGAGCCAUGUUUGCCGUCGACCCUCGAUGACGAUGACGCUGACUACGAUGAAAAGCAAGUAACCGCUGCACAUGUGUAAGGCAUGAUGUUUAGCUUGGGAUGUGGCUGAUGACGAUUAAGAUUUUUAGGUGGCGUUUCCGUUUCGUCCAGUGGCCAGACGACGGGUACCCCGCAGGUGGCACAACCAUGAGCGUCUAUAGGUUGAUGAAUAAAAAGCACCUCUUCACUGAAUUUUAAGUGUACCCAUGGCUGCUUCACACACAUUCAGGGUUCCUUCUGCAGGGAGAUGUGUGCGACGUUUAUAAGGAAGUCUGUCCAGUGUAAGAUUUAUUGAUGUACGUUUUUCACGAGUGCGCCUAGCUGUUGUUAGAUAAAAAGAACUUUAUUUU